This 253-nucleotide ribosomal RNA is filed under the name uncultured bacterium. RNAcentral describes it as "partial 16S ribosomal RNA". It matches the Rfam family "Bacterial small subunit ribosomal RNA", at positions 524 to 776 of the family's 1533-position model. The record is from RNAcentral.
UACAGAGGGGGCAAGCGUUGUUCGGAAUUACUGGGCGUAAAGGGCGCGUAGGUGGCCUUCUAAGUUGAACGUGAAAUCCCUGGGCUCAACCCAGGAACUGCGUCCAAGACUGGGAGGCUUGAAUCCGGGAGAGGGAUGCGGAAUUCCAGGUGUAGCGGUGAAAUGCGUAGAUAUCUGGAGGAAUACCGGUGGCGAAGGCGGCAUCCUGGACCGGCAUUGACGCUGAGGAGCGAAAGCCAGGGGAGCAAACGGG